Molecule: non-coding RNA, 72 nt
Organism: Aulographum hederae CBS 113979
Lineage: Eukaryota; Fungi; Ascomycota; Dothideomycetes; Aulographales; Aulographaceae
Source: the annotation of a GenBank genome assembly
GGGCAUGUAGCUCAGUGGUAGAGCGCCCGCUUUGCAUGCGGGAGGUCUAGGGUUCGAUCCCCUACCUGUCCA